This 253-nucleotide ribosomal RNA is filed under the name uncultured bacterium. Its description in RNAcentral is "partial 16S ribosomal RNA". It matches the Rfam family "Bacterial small subunit ribosomal RNA", at positions 524 to 776 of the family's 1533-position model. The record is from RNAcentral.
UACGGAGGGUGCAAGCGUUACUCGGAAUCACUGGGCGUAAAGGGCGCGUAGGCGGGCUAUUAAGUCCUGUGUGAAAUCCAACAGCUUAACUGUUGAACUGCAUAGGAAACUGGUAGUCUAGAGUGUGGGAGAGGCAAAGGGAAUUAGCGGUGUAGGGGUAAAAUCCGUAGAGAUCGCUAAGAAUACCGAUUGCGAAGGCGCUUUGCUGGAACACUACUGACGCUGAGGCGCGAAAGCGUGGGGAGCAAACAGG